GAACCUCUCCUCAACGAUAAGAGAAAUCCACAACCCCCACACAAUACCCAAUCAAUCCCAUUGUUCUUCCCGUCCACAUCUGCCCCAAUCAAACUCUUCCAUUUCUCACUCCUCACAUCCACAAAACCAACCACCCAUUAACACUCUCUUCUCUCAGUCAACUUCUCUGUUUACCAUUGAAACUUGAACACCACGUCCAACAACAACAAUGGCUUCUGCCACCACACCCACCACCUUCUCUCUCCUCCAAACCACCACCGCCUCCACCUCCCGCACCCGCUCUUCUCUCAC
This 291-nucleotide long non-coding RNA is filed under the name Prunus persica (peach). RNAcentral's name for it is "long non-coding RNA (PPER_LNC004088)". The record is from RNAcentral. Lineage: Eukaryota; Viridiplantae; Streptophyta; Magnoliopsida; Rosales; Rosaceae.